RNAcentral lists this ribosomal RNA (498 nucleotides) under Triticum aestivum (bread wheat). RNAcentral describes it as "partial small subunit ribosomal RNA". The record is from RNAcentral. Lineage: Eukaryota; Viridiplantae; Streptophyta; Magnoliopsida; Poales; Poaceae.
AUGAUAGUGAGAUACUUAAUACAUACACCAAAUUUUGGCAUUUGGUAUCCUAAGAGGUCCUCUUUUGAUCUUGUUGGCUAUUCCGAUUCAGACUAUGCCGGAGACAAGGUUGAUAGAAAGUCCAUUUUGGGUACUUGUCAAUUUCUUGGUAGAUCUCUUGUGUCUUGGUCCUCCAAGAAACAAAACUCGGUAUCCUUAUCCACCGCCGAAGCGGAAUACAUUGCCGCCGGUUCAUGUUGUGCUCAAUUACUUUGGAUGACCCAAACUCUUAAAGAUUAUGGGAUCAAUGUGAAACAUGUUCCAUUGCUUUGUGACAAUGAGAGUGCUAUUAAGAUUGCUCACAAUCCUGUGCAACAUUCUCAAACUAAGCAUAUUGAAGUUCGUCAUCAUUUCAUUCGAGAUCAUGUUGCAAAAGGGGGCAUUGAUCUUAAGCAUGUUCGUACCGAUAAGCAAUUGGCGGAUAUAUUCACCAAACCGCUUGAUGAGAAAGUCUUUUGC